GGAGGCCUCCGGUCGCCUGGCUCCGGCCCCACCCCGCCAUCCCCUGGCCCUGGCUGACUCGCCACCCCCGACACUGCAGCGCCUGCCGACCUCGGGGCCCCGCCCUCUGCCUUCGCUCGCGCCGCUCUCCUUCAGUCUCCCCAGGGCCUGUUUCAUGGAUAGGGUCCCCUUGCCCGCGUGAAAGUCUCAUUCCUCCUCAGCUCAGAAACACUCCAAGGUCUCGGCGCCCUAUACUGGCCUUCCCUCAUCCGAAUACCCCUCGUGCUCCUGAUGUACUUUUCCAUUCCCACUCCCUACUCUGGCAGUCUAGCUUCUAAGCUGAGGAGUUUGGCCUUCGCUCCAGGUGCGGGGACUCGUGGAAGGAUUUGAUUCGCGCUUGAGAAAGAUCGCUCCGCUCCUGUAAGGAAGAGAGCGUGUAGGGGCUGCAACCAGAGACACAGUCAGAAGCUCCGAGGCUACCGCGAUGGUCCAGGUGCCACAGGACACAGCCUAACAGAGGCCCAGGUUGGAGCCAUGGACCAUGGAGUCAUGAGAAUGGAAGGGAAGCUGACGCCAUGUGGGAUGGGGUAGAACUGUCCGCAAAUUCGUCCCGCCUCUGGAGUCUUCAGACCAGUCAAGGCCGAAAUUCAACCAAGCCUCUCCUCUCUCUAGCUGUUAUUUGUUUGCAGCACGCGGUCUGGUGGCACCCUGCAGGAUUUACCAGCUUUUUGCCAACAUUCUGGCCUAUGCAAUCAAUACGUCCCUUCAGCGUUGCACUUGGAUGGAUUGGACCUAUAGUUGUUAUAUAUGGAUAUUGUCUAAUUUAUUUAUUACAGUAUUAACUGACUCCUAUGUUCUGGCCUUCAGAAUUUCUCCUUUGGAUCAAUUACUAGCCUGUCUUACAUUUUCUGCUUCAUUCUUUUAAAAUGUUUAGAGAUGAUUUGCUAAGUUUUCUUCAUUGCUGUCAAUGAUGCAAUUUAAACUGUCAAAAAAAUUUUUUCUCAAGCAGGGUAGUAAUGGUGAACCAUUCCCUUGCUAUUCAGACAGCAUGGUUUAGAUGAGGCGCACCUAUCCCCAGCUUUAGGAAUGGAAACAGGACCCAAGUCUGGCUAAUCAGAGACUGGUUUAGGGUCGGCCCCAUGGUCUGAGCCAGACCAAUGAGAAUUGGUAGAGGGACUUCCUUUUGCAACUUCUAUUUUAGAAUCGGGGGUAUAUAUGCAGGCUUGUUACAGAGGUAUAUUGCAUGGUGCUGAGGUUUGGAGUAUGAACGAAUCCGUCCUUCAGGUAAUGAGCAUAGUACCCAAUAGGUAGUUUCAACCCUUGCCCCCUUCCUCCUUCCCCAGUCUUGUAUUCCCCAGUGUCUGUUGUUCCCAGACAUUGAUCUUUUUCCUCUAUGUUGCUAAGCUGGUAGAAAGGCUGGAGUUGCUGGCAACCAUCUUUGCAACCAUGCAGGGAGAACUACUUUGGAAAUGAAGCAAGAUAAAGAAGAAAACAGAUAAAAGGAGACAAAUGUUUGACUUUGUACAGCUGGAAACCAGCAAUGCUGGAAAUGAGCACUGAAGGCAGUUUAAUGGGUUUGUCACUUGUAACCAAGUGACCCAUGGCAAGCUCACAGAUUUGUAUUGGCAGAAUUCCUCCUUUUCUUUAUUUAAAAUGGUACUUUUGGCCAGGCAAGGUGGUUCACACCUGUAAUCCAAAGACUUUGGGAGGCCGAGGCGCACUGAUCACCCAAGGUCAGAAGUUCGAGAACAGCCUGGCCAACAUUGGCGAAACCCCAUCUCUACUAAAAAUACAAACCAUUAGCUGGCUGCGGUGGCCUUUCUACCAGCUUUUUGUCUCAAAAAAAAAAAAAAAAAAGGUACUUUUGCUUAUCUCUAACCUUCCUCUUCCCCAUAAUUUAACAGUUGCCCAUACUAUCUGUUACUCUGAGCUACUCUCUGCCCCAUUCUCCUCCUCUUAUCUUCAGUUCCUCCUAGGCUGUCAGAGCCAUCUGAAAUGAAAACAUUUAGGCCGGGCAUAGUGGUUCAUGCCUGUAAUCCCAGCACUUUGGGAGGCUGAGGCAGGCGGAUCAGCUGAGGUCAGGAGUUCAAGACCACCCUGGUCAACAUGGUGAAACCCCAUCUCUACUAAAAAUACAAAAAUUAUCCAGACAUGGUGGCACAUGCCUCUACUCCCAGCUACUUGGGAGGCUGAGGCAGGAGAAUCGCUUGAACCUAGGAGGCAGGGGUUGCAGUGAGCCGAGAUUGAGCCACUGCACUCUAGCCUGGGCGACAGAGUGAGACUUUGUCUAAAAAACAUAAAUAAAAUAAAAUGAAAUGAAAACAUUUGCUACUUGAAAUCCUUCAGAUUCCCCAUCGCCUACCUACAGGCAAAACUCUCAAGUUCUUUUGUAUGAUUUAACCACUAUCUACCUGUCCAACUGAAAUCUACCCUUCAGUAAUAUUAUACUUGCACCUCCCUUCAUAAGCUAUGCUACAAGUUUGGUUAUGCAGUUGCCCACCUUUUAAGGUUCAAGCCUUGUCUUCUCCAAAGAGCCACCUCUGACUGCCUCACAGUAAGCUUAGGGCCCGCAACUUACCUGUAACUUUUGUUGCACUUAUGGCCUUUUACAACUAUCAAUUUAUGUAUGUGUCUGUUCUCACUGGUUUAUAAGCUCCCUGAGGACAGAGCCUUGCUUGAGUCAUCUGUCAGCAGCCCAAUAUGGGACAAAAAGUGCAUGCAUUGUAAUUACUGAACAGAACUGAUAGAGGCUCAGCAAUUUGCGCUCCAUAGGUCUAAGUUUGAACUUUUCUAGAAAAGGAUUUGCAGGACGAUCUGACG
Molecule: long non-coding RNA, 2799 nt
Organism: Homo sapiens (human)
Lineage: Eukaryota; Metazoa; Chordata; Mammalia; Primates; Hominidae
Gene: BOLA3-DT
Product: BOLA3 divergent transcript
Source: Ensembl